UACGGGGGGGGCAAGCGUUGUUCGGAAUUACUGGGCGUAAAGGGCGCGUAGGCGGCUCGCUAAGUUGGAUGUGAAAACUCUGGGCUUAACCCAGAGCCUGCAUUCAAAACUGACGGGCUAGAGUUCUGGAGGGGAUAGCGGAAUUCCUGGUGUAGCGGUGAAAUGCGUAGAUAUCGGGAGGAACACCAGUGGCGAAGGCGACUACCUGGCCUGUUCUUGACGCUGAGGCGCGAAAGCUAGGGUAGCAAACGGG
RNAcentral lists this ribosomal RNA (253 nucleotides) under uncultured bacterium. Its description in RNAcentral is "partial 16S ribosomal RNA". It matches the Rfam family "Bacterial small subunit ribosomal RNA", at positions 524 to 776 of the family's 1533-position model. The record is from RNAcentral.